GAUGAACGCUGGCGGCGUGCUUAACACAUGCAAGUCGAGCGGAAAUAUGAAAUCUAAGAGCUUCGGCAGGAGGAUUUCAUAUUUUAGCGGCGGACGGGUGAGUAACGUGUGGGCAACCUACCCUGUACUGUGGAAUAAUCACUGGAAACGGUGACUAAUACCACAUGUCAUCACGAGAGGACAUCCUCUUGUGAAAAAAGGAUUUAUUCGGUACAGGAUGGGCCCGCAUCUGAUUAGCUAGUUGGUGAGAUAACAGCCCACCAAGGCAACGAUCAGUAGCCGACCUGAGAGGGUGAUCGGCCACAUUGGGACUGAGACACGGCCCAAACUCCUACGGGAGGCAGCAGUGGGGAAUAUUGCACAAUGGGCGAAAGCCUGAUGCAGCAACGCCGCGUGAAGGAUGAAGGGUUUCGGCUCGUAAACUUCUAUCAACAGGGACGAAAAAAAUGACGGUACCUGAAUAAGAAGCCCCGGCUAACUACGUG
RNAcentral lists this ribosomal RNA (485 nucleotides) under uncultured organism. Its description in RNAcentral is "bacterial SSU rRNA". It matches the Rfam family "Bacterial small subunit ribosomal RNA", at positions 28 to 507 of the family's 1533-position model. The record is from RNAcentral.